RNAcentral lists this ribosomal RNA (463 nucleotides) under uncultured bacterium. RNAcentral's name for it is "bacterial SSU rRNA". It matches the Rfam family "Bacterial small subunit ribosomal RNA", at positions 30 to 481 of the family's 1533-position model. The record is from RNAcentral.
AUUGAACGCUGGCGGCAUGCCUUACACAUGCAAGUCGAACGGCAGCGGACCUUCGGGUGCCGGCGAGUGGCGAACGGGUGAGUAAUGCAUCGGAACGUGCCAUUGAGUGGGGGAUAACGUAGCGAAAGUUGCGCUAAUACCGCAUAUUCUGUGAGCAGGAAAGCAGGGGACCGCAAGGCCUUGCGCUCUUUGAGCGGCCGAUGUCAGAUUAGCUAGUUGGUGAGGUAACGGCUUACCAAGGCGACGAUCUGUAGCGGGUCUGAGAGGAUGAUCCGCCACACUGGAACUGAGACACGGUCCAGACUCCUACGGGAGGCAGCAGUGGGGAAUUUUGGACAAUGGGGGCAACCCUGAUCCAGCCAUGCCGCGUGAGUGAAGAAGGCCUUCGGGUUGGUUAAAGACGUCUUUCGGUCCGGGACGGAAUACGCAUGGUUAAGUACCUCGUGUGGAGUGACGGUACCGG